GUCCAAAUUCUGCAUAUUCUCUACUACCUUGUUCUAACCGGUGAAGCUGUAGGACAAGGGGUCGACGAGUGACAAUACCAGAUCCACGAGGCAAAAAAUCCUUUCCGACAAUGCUCUCAAGCACUGAAGACUUCCCAGAGCUCUGGCCACCAACGACGGCGAUGGAAGGAAGGGCAUCCCAGAGAGUAGGCAAUGCACUCUCUUCACCAUGAUCGCCAAGGGCAGUGCAAGCUCUCUGUAAUCUGUUAACCAAUUGUAUGAGAUUCUCCAUUGAUCAGAGUCAAAGAUCGACGACUUGACUCAGGUGACAAGUGAAACAAUAAAAUAAAUAGCGUCGGCGCCGGUGAUUUACAAAUUGAUCGAUAGAUCGACGUCGAUUCAGAGAAAGGAGAGAAAAGGCCAACGGGUCGAAAUAAGAAUUUGAAAUUGAAACGGGGACACGGAGA
Molecule: unclassified non-coding RNA, 446 nt
Filed under: Hevea brasiliensis (rubber tree)
Lineage: Eukaryota; Viridiplantae; Streptophyta; Magnoliopsida; Malpighiales; Euphorbiaceae
Source: RNAcentral